This 28-nucleotide non-coding RNA is filed under the name Cricetulus griseus (Chinese hamster). Lineage: Eukaryota; Metazoa; Chordata; Mammalia; Rodentia; Cricetidae. The record is from RNAcentral.
AAGGGACCCGCAGGACCGGGGAGGCGAC